This 315-nucleotide ribosomal RNA is filed under the name uncultured eukaryote. RNAcentral's name for it is "partial 18S ribosomal RNA". It matches the Rfam family "Eukaryotic small subunit ribosomal RNA", at positions 1470 to 1796 of the family's 1831-position model. The record is from RNAcentral.
CCCUUAGACGUUCUGGGCCGCACGCGCGCUACACUAACCAGUGCAACAAGCAUCCGUCCUUGGCCGACAGGCUCGGGCAAUCUUUGAACGCUGGUCGUGAUGGGGAUAGACUUUUGCAAUUUUUGGUCUUCAACGAGGAAUUCCUAGUAAACGCAAGUCAUCAACUUGCAUUGAUUACGUCCCUGCCCUUUGUACACACCGCCCGUCGCACCUACCGAUUGAAUGGUCCGGUGAAGCCUCCGGAUUGGCGCGCACCUCGGUGCCGCCGAGAAGUUGGCUAAACCUUACCAUUUAGAGGAAGGUGAAGUCGUAACA